GGAUGAACGCUAGCGGGAGGCCUAACACAUGCAAGCCGAGCGGUAUUUGUUCUUCGGAACAGAGAGAGCGGCGUACGGGUGCGGAACACGUGUGCAACCUGCCUUUAUCAGGGGGAUAGCCUUUCGAAAGGAAGAUUAAUACCCCAUAAUAUAUUGAUUGGCAUCAAUUAAUAUUGAAAACUCCGGUGGAUAGAGAUGGGCACGCGCAAGAUUAGAUAGUUGGUGAGGUAACGGCUCACCAAGUCAGUGAUCUUUAGGGGGCCUGAGAGGGUGAUCCCCCACACUGGUACUGAGACACGGACCAGACUCCUACGGGAGGCAGCAGUGAGGAAUAUUGGACAAUGGGUGAGAGCCUGAUCCAGCCAUCCCGCGUGAAGGACGACGGUUCUAUGGAUUGUAAACUUCUUUUAUACUGGGAUAAACCUACCCUCGUGAGGGUAGCUGAAGGUACAGUAUGAAUAAGCACCGGCUAACUCCGUGCCAGCAGCCGCGGUAAUACGGAGGGUGCAAGCGUUAUCCGGAUUUAUUGGGUUUAAAGGGUCCGUAGGCGGAUCUGUAAGUCAGUGGUGAAAUCUCAUAGCUUAACUAUGAAACUGCCAUUGAUACUGCAGGUCUUGAGUAAAGUAGAAGUGGCUGGAAUAAGUAGUGUAGCGGUGAAAUGCAUAGAUAUUACUUAGAACACCAAUUGCGAAGGCAGGUCACUAUGUUUUAACUGACGCUGAUGGACGAAAGCGUGGGGAGCGAACAGGAUUAGAUACCCUGGUAGUCCACGCCGUAAACGAUGCUAACUCGUUUUUGGGUUUUCGGAUUCAGAGACUAAGCGAAAGUGAUAAGUUAGCCACCUGGGGAGUACGUUCGCAAGAAUGAAACUCAAAGGAAUUGACGGGGGCCCGCACAAGCGGUGGAUUAUGUGGUUUAAUUCGAUGAUACGCGAGGAACCUUACCAAGGCUUAAAUGGGAAUUGACAGGUUUAGAAAUAGACUUUUCUUCGGACAAUUUUCAAGGUGCUGCAUGGUUGUCGUCAGCUCGUGCCGUGAGGUGUUAGGUUAAGUCCUGCAACGAGCGCAACCCCUGUCACUAGUUGCCAUCAUUCAGUUGGGGACUCUAGUGAGACUGCCUACGCAAGUAGAGAGGAAGGUGGGGAUGACGUCAAAUCAUCACGGCCCUUACGCCUUGGGCCACACACGUAAUACAAUGGCCAGUACAGAGGGCAGCUACCAGGCGACUGGAUGCGAAUCUCGAAAGCUGGUCUCAGUUCGGAUUGGAGUCUGCAACUCGACUCUAUGAAGCUGGAAUCGCUAGUAAUCGCGCAUCAGCCAUGGCGCGGUGAAUACGUUCCCGGGCCUUGUACACACCGCCCGUCAAGCCAUGGAAGUCUGGGGUACCUGAAGUCGGUGACCGUAACAGGAGCUGCCUAGGGUAAAACAGGUAACUAGGGCUAA
RNAcentral lists this ribosomal RNA (1442 nucleotides) under Chryseobacterium sp. RNAcentral describes it as "bacterial SSU rRNA". It matches the Rfam family "Bacterial small subunit ribosomal RNA". The record is from RNAcentral. Lineage: Bacteria; Pseudomonadati; Bacteroidota; Flavobacteriia; Flavobacteriales; Weeksellaceae.